This 1566-nucleotide ribosomal RNA is filed under the name Triticum aestivum (bread wheat). RNAcentral describes it as "partial small subunit ribosomal RNA". The record is from RNAcentral. Lineage: Eukaryota; Viridiplantae; Streptophyta; Magnoliopsida; Poales; Poaceae.
AUGUCCUGGUUUCCUAAACUACGGGAGCUCAAGGUUAUACGCUGCCUCAAAUUGGCGUCAUUGCCUCCAAUCCCUUGGACUCAAGCUCCGUGCUCUGCUGAGAUAAGAAAAGCAGGAUCAGUAUUUGGGAGGCUUGUUUACUCGAAGAACUACAAAUCCGAAUUAAGUUUGGAAAUUGAGGGAAAAGAUGGUCAGCAUGGCGUGUUCUGGAACGGGUUGGCUUUCCAUAAUCUAGCUGACCUUAAAGAGCUGAAGGUGAGGAACUGCCCUCCCCUGCCACUGAUUCACCUCCAAAAGCUAAAAUCUCUGAAGUCCCUCGGGAUAACCGGCAUGAACAACUCGUUGCUGCUGUUUGAAGGUGAAAGCUAUAAUACUGAAUGCCUGCUUCCAGUUGAACGCAUAGAGAUCGAGCACUGUGGUGCUGAUGGGAAGAAACUGACACAAGUGUUAUCUCAUUUCCCGAAGCUGACCGAGUUGGAAGUGAGAAGGUGUGACAAGAUAACAGAGCUUGGCGUGGCGGUGCUUCUUCAGACGGAGAUGACGACACCAUCAUCUUCAGGUAAUGAAAUUGAAACUGAGCAUGCACAAGCUGAACAGCAUCAGACAAAAGGAGAAGAGGUAGAAGAUGCAGCAGCAGGAGGAGGAGGUCUGCUGCUCCUGCCUCGGCAACUACAGGAGUUGCGCAUCUCUGGUUGCAGAGGGCCGCGGUUACUCUCCGAUUCACUUGGCAAGGACAGCACACACGGAGGAGGGCUCCAGAGUCUUUGCUCCCUCCAAUUGUUCGGCAUACUUGAUUGCCCCAGGUUCCUCUCGUCCUAUUCGUCCUCCGCCUCAUCUUGUUUCCCCUUCCCGACCUCCCUGCAACAACUCGCGCUGUGGGGCGUGGAGGGCAUGGAGACGCUGGUUCCCCUCUCAAAUCUCUUCUCUCUCACCGAUUUAACCGUGCAUAACUGUGGGGAUCUAAGAGGCGACGGCUUAUGGCCUCUCGUCACCCAGGGGCGCCUCACACAAUUACGCAUCUCUGGAACCCCAAAAUUCUUCACUGGUUCUGAGCCCUCACGGCCACAUGACCAAGAGAUUCCUUCCUCUUCAUCCAAACUAGAAUUUCUCUUGACGGAUGACUUGACGGGAGUCCUUACCGUGCCCAUCUGCAGACUCCUCUCUUCCUCCCUCACCCAAUUAAUCUUUUGGGAUAACAAAGAGAUGGAGCGCUUCGCAGAGGAGCAAGAGGAGGCCCUUUACCUCCACGGUUCCCUCCAGAAACUUGUGUUUUCUCACUGCACGAAGCUGCAGCGCCUCCCUGCGGGGCUAACCAAACUUGCCAGCCUCAACAUAUUACGGAUCUGGUCGUGUCCAGCCAUCCAAUUGCUGCCCAAGGACGGACUGCCAACUUCUCUGCAAGAAUUAGAGAUCAGUAACUGUCCUGCCAUCAAAUCUCUGCCCAAGAACGGCCUGCCAAGUUCACUACGAAAAUUAGAGGUUCCUUAUGGCAUCAGCGAGGAGCUUAAAAGGCAGUGCCGCAAGUUAAAAGGAACCAUUCCAAUAAUCAAAGACUACGAUGACUAA